This 277-nucleotide long non-coding RNA is filed under the name Arabidopsis thaliana (thale cress). Its description in RNAcentral is "long non-coding RNA (ATHA_LNC000276)". The record is from RNAcentral. Lineage: Eukaryota; Viridiplantae; Streptophyta; Magnoliopsida; Brassicales; Brassicaceae.
UCAUGACCCACAAAGGAUCAUUGACCAGAGCAGCAGCCAAACCUCCAUAAGCAGUGUUCAUAUCCAUAACAUUCCGAAUUUUGUCAGAACCAAUCGCGGGUAACAGCUUCUUGUAAUGCUUAGCCCUUGUUUUCCAUUUGCUAUCAUCAUGUUUAAACACGUUACCAUUUCCUCCAGGAACAUCAGAGAUUCUUUCAGGAGUUGUGUGUAAUCUUUCUGGCCACUUGGGAGUAGAUUCCAAAUCCGUCUUCUUUAGCUUAGGGCUUGGAACCACAAC